This 185-nucleotide signal recognition particle RNA is filed under the name Planctomycetota bacterium. Its description in RNAcentral is "partial signal recognition particle sRNA large type". It matches the Rfam family "Bacterial large signal recognition particle RNA", at positions 1 to 181 of the family's 256-position model. From Rfam's summary of the family: The signal recognition particle (SRP) is a universally conserved ribonucleoprotein involved in the co-translational targeting of proteins to membranes. Archaeal SRP consists of a 7S RNA and homologues of the eukaryotic SRP19 and SRP54 proteins. Lineage: Bacteria; Pseudomonadati; Planctomycetota. The record is from RNAcentral.
CCGUGCUAGACGGGGAGCUAGCGGUUCCUUGUUACCUGCAAACCGCUUACGCAGGGUCGAUCGCUUUUUGGAGGUUUUUCUGACUUUUGGUGCUUUUUAAGCAAGUGGUGUUGAAGGCUGGGUCUCAUGCAAUAAGGCUAUGUGAACCUGGUCAGAUGCGGAAGCAAGCAGCCAUAAGCAUUGGU